This is a non-coding RNA of Enterobius vermicularis (human pinworm), 46 nucleotides long. Lineage: Eukaryota; Metazoa; Nematoda; Chromadorea; Rhabditida; Oxyuridae. The record is from Rfam.
CCAACGGCCCUCUUUAGGGCCACAAAUUUGGAACUCAAACGUUAUA